AGAGUUUGAUCCUGGCUCAGAUUGAACGCUGGCGGCAUGCUUUACACAUGCAAGUCGAACGGCAGCGCGGGCUUCGGCCUGGCGGCGAGUGGCGAACGGGUGAGUAAUGCGUCGGAACACACCGGGUAAUGGGGGAUAACUUUCCGAAAGGAAAGCUAAUACCGCAUACGCUCUGAGGAGGAAAGCGGGGGAUCGUAAGACCUCGCGUUAUUCGAGUGGCCGACGUCGGAUUAGCUAGUUGGUGGGGUAAGAGCCCACCAAGGCGACGAUCCGUAGCGGGUCUGAGAGGAUGAUCCGCCACACUGGGACUGAGACACGGCCCAGACUCCUACGGGAGGCAGCAGUGGGGAAUUUUGGACAAUGGGCGCAAGCCUGAUCCAGCCAUGCCGCGUGUCUGAAGAAGGCCUUCGGGUUGUAAAGGACUUUUGUCGAGGAGCAAACCUCUGUGGCUAAUAUCUACGGAGCUGAGAGUACUCGAAGAAUAAGCACCGGCUAACUACGUGCCAGCAGCCGCGGUAAUACGUAGGGUGCAAGCGUUAAUCGGAAUUACUGGGCGUAAAGCGUGCGCA
RNAcentral lists this ribosomal RNA (569 nucleotides) under uncultured bacterium. Its description in RNAcentral is "bacterial SSU rRNA". It matches the Rfam family "Bacterial small subunit ribosomal RNA", at positions 8 to 573 of the family's 1533-position model. The record is from RNAcentral.